CAUAGCCUUUAGCCUUAAUCGUAUUAAAGGUAGCGCCUGCCCAGUGACACUUAAACGGCCGCGGUAUCCUAACCGUGCAAAGGUAGCGUAAUCACUUGUCCUCUAAAUAAGGACCAGUAUGAACGGCUAAAUGAGGAUUAAACUGUCUCCUACGACUAAUCAGUGAAACUGAUCUCCCCGUCCAAAAGCUGGGAUAAACCCAUAAGACGAGAAGACCCUGUGGAGCUUAAAAUUAAAGCCACCCACACUCUGCCCCACACCACAUCAUGGCCUACAAUUUUAAGUUGGGGCGACUUCGGAACUAAGAAAAACUUCCGAGCAUAAGAACAAACAUCUUACCAAGGCCAACACGCCUAAGCACAAACUGACCCAGUCAUACUGACCAACGAACCAAGUUACCCCAGGGAUAACAGCGCUAUCUUCUUCAAGAGUCCAUAUCGCCAAGAAGGUUUACGACCUCGAUGUUGGAUCAGGACACCCAAAUGGUGCAGCCGCUAUUAAAGGUUCGUUUGUUCAACGAUUAACAGUCCUACGUGAUC
This 539-nucleotide ribosomal RNA is filed under the name Polychrus femoralis. RNAcentral's name for it is "partial 16S ribosomal RNA". It matches the Rfam family "Bacterial large subunit ribosomal RNA", at positions 1814 to 2605 of the family's 2925-position model. The record is from RNAcentral. Lineage: Eukaryota; Metazoa; Chordata; Lepidosauria; Squamata; Polychrotidae.